This is a ribosomal RNA of 262 nucleotides. It matches the Rfam family "Bacterial small subunit ribosomal RNA", at positions 1 to 259 of the family's 1533-position model.
UUCAACUGAAGAGUUUGAUCAUGGCUCAGAUUGAACGCUGGCGGCAGGCCUAACACAUGCAAGUCGAGCGGAAACGAUCCUAGCUUGCUAGGAGGCGUCGAGCGGCGGACGGGUGAGUAAUGCAUAGGAAUCUACCCAGUCGUGGGGGAUAACCUGAGGAAACUCAGGCUAAUACCGCAUACGUCCUACGGGAGAAAGCGGGGGCUCUUCGGACCUCGCGCGAUUGGAUGAGCCUAUGUCGGAUUAGCUAGUUGGUCAGGUA